AGCUGGCAGUAUCAUAACCAAUGAAGUUAAUCUGAGGUAUGAUUAUUGCUAGUUGAAAUCUUUUCUCUAAUAGGAGGCGGAAGAUACCUGAAUCUCUGCUGAACAAUGCAUGGAAUAGCCAUAAUUA
Molecule: small nuclear RNA, 127 nt
Filed under: Gopherus agassizii (Agassiz's desert tortoise)
Lineage: Eukaryota; Metazoa; Chordata; Testudines; Testudinidae
Description: U4 spliceosomal RNA (ENSGAGG00000020359.1)
Rfam family: U4 spliceosomal RNA (bases 5-114)
About the family: U4 small nuclear RNA (U4 snRNA) is a component of the major U2-dependent spliceosome. The structure of U4 snRNA from yeast and human has been reported. U4 snRNA presents a k-turn RNA motif in the 5p-SL related to recognition of Snu13 protein.
Source: RNAcentral